This 522-nucleotide long non-coding RNA is filed under the name Suricata suricatta (meerkat). RNAcentral's name for it is "lncRNA (ENSSSUG00005020671.1)". Lineage: Eukaryota; Metazoa; Chordata; Mammalia; Carnivora; Herpestidae. The record is from RNAcentral.
UAUAAAUAGGUCAGUUAAUCCUGCCCAAUUUUUUAUAAAUGUUCUUUUCAAACUACUAACAUGAUUAGCCAUGAUUGCAUUUUGGCCCAAGUGAAGGCCUAUUCUUACUUUUUGAUGGCUCACUCAUCUUUACAAGGUUAAAUAGCCUUCAUUGCUUGAAAGCUUCCCACAAGUUUUACUUUUCUUAAUCACAUUAUUCCAACUUCAAUAACUUCAUAUUUACAUUAUUAAUAGACUGUCAAAGUGUAUUGAUGUCUGCAUCAGUUUUGAAAAUCCCUUAAGAUUUUCUUUGCAUUGGAUCUAGAGAAAUCAACCCAUUUGGAGAAGAGUGUGAGCAAAAGUGACAGCCCUGCUCUCUUGGCCAUGGAAUUACCAAUGCAUGCACUUAGAUGCACAGGUUGGAAAUAAAAUAGGUUCUGAAGAACGGAACUUCCACUCCUUUCCCGGGAAGACAAUUCUCCGGUGUAGUCCCUCAAAUUAUUUAAGUGUUUGUCAUUUUUCCAUCGUAACACUAAAUACCUU